UACGUAGGUGGCAAGCGUUAUCCGGAUUUAUUGGGCGUAAAGGGAACGCAGGCGGUCUUUUAUGUCUGAUGUGAAAGCCUUCGGCUUAACCGGAGUAGUGCAUUGGAAACUGGGAGACUUGAGUGCAGAAGAGGAGAGUGGAACUCCAUGUGUAGCGGUGAAAUGCGUAGAUAUAUGGAAGAACACCAGUGGCGAAAGCGGCUCUCUGGUCUGUAACUGACGCUGAGGUUCGAAAGCGUGGGUAGCAAACAGG
This 253-nucleotide ribosomal RNA is filed under the name uncultured bacterium. Its description in RNAcentral is "partial 16S ribosomal RNA". It matches the Rfam family "Bacterial small subunit ribosomal RNA", at positions 524 to 776 of the family's 1533-position model. The record is from RNAcentral.